RNAcentral lists this ribosomal RNA (508 nucleotides) under uncultured bacterium. RNAcentral describes it as "partial 16S ribosomal RNA". It matches the Rfam family "Bacterial small subunit ribosomal RNA", at positions 28 to 507 of the family's 1533-position model. The record is from RNAcentral.
GACGAACGCUGGCGGCGUGCCUAAUACAUGCAAGUCGAACGCUUCUUUCCUCCCGAGUGCUUGCACUCAAUUGGAAAGAGGAGUGGCGGACGGGUGAGUAACACGUGGGUAACCUACCCAUCAGAGGGGGAUAACACUUGGAAACAGGUGCUAAUACCGCAUAACAGUUUAUGCCGCAUGGCAUAAGAGUGAAAGGCGCUUUCGGGUGUCGCUGAUGGAUGGACCCGCGGUGCAUUAGCUAGUUGGUGAGGUAACGGCUCACCAAGGCCACGAUGCAUAGCCGACCGGAGAGGGUGAUCGGCCACACUGGAACUGAGACACGGCCCAGACGCCUACGGUAGGCAGCAGUAGGGAAUCUGCGGCAAUGGACGAAAGUCUGACCGAGCAACGCCGCGUGAGUGAAGAAGGUUUUCGGAGCGGAAAACUCUGUUGUUAGAGAAGAACAAGGACGUUAGUAACUGAACGUCCCCUGACGGUAUCUAACCAGAAAGCCACGGCUAACUACGUG